UACAGAGGGGGCAAGCGUUGUUCGGAAUUACUGGGCGUAAAGGGCGCGUAGGCGGCCUUCUAAGUCGAACGUGAAAUCCCCGGGCUCAACCCGGGAACUGCGUCCGAUACUGGAAGGCUUGAAUCCGGGAGAGGGAUGUGGAAUUCCAGGUGUAGCGGUGAAAUGCGCAGAUAUCGGGAGGAACACCGGUGGCGAAGGCGGUUCUCUGGGCCUUACCUGACGCUGAGGAGCGAAAGCGUGGGGAGCGAACAGG
This 253-nucleotide ribosomal RNA is filed under the name uncultured bacterium. RNAcentral's name for it is "partial 16S ribosomal RNA". It matches the Rfam family "Bacterial small subunit ribosomal RNA", at positions 524 to 776 of the family's 1533-position model. The record is from RNAcentral.